This 74-nucleotide transfer RNA is filed under the name Candidatus Buchananbacteria bacterium. RNAcentral's name for it is "tRNA-Arg". It matches the Rfam family "tRNA". Rfam says of the family: Transfer RNA (tRNA) molecules are approximately 80 nucleotides in length. Their secondary structure includes four short double-helical elements and three loops (D, anti-codon, and T loops). Further hydrogen bonds mediate the characteristic L-shaped molecular structure. tRNAs have two regions of fundamental functional importance: the anti-codon, which is responsible for specific mRNA codon recognition, and the 3' end, to which the tRNAs corresponding amino acid is attached (by aminoacyl-tRNA synthetases). tRNAs cope with the degeneracy of the genetic code in two manners: having more than one tRNA (with a specific anti-codon) for a particular amino acid; and 'wobble' base-pairing, i.e. permitting non-standard base-pairing at the 3rd anti-codon position. Lineage: Bacteria; Candidatus Buchananiibacteriota. The record is from RNAcentral.
GCUCCUGUAGCUCAACUGGAUAGAGCAGGUCCGUCCUAAGGACAAGGUUGUAGGUUCAACUCCUACCAGGAGCA